CCAGCAGCCGCGGUAAUUCCAGCUCCAAUAGCGUAUAUUAAAGUUGUUGCAGUUAAAAAGCUCGUAGUUGAAUUUCUGGGCUGGCCGGGAGGCGGCCUUCGGUCGACCUCCCCGCGAGUUCAUCCUCGCCCCUCGGGGCGUCAUUUACUGUGAAAAAAUUAGAGUGUUUAAAGCAGGCUUCUGGCUUGAAUACAUUAGCAUGGAAUAAUGAGAUAGGACCGAGUCGUAUUUUGUUGGUUGCGCGAACCGGUAAUGAUUAAUAGGGACAGUUGGGGGUAUUCAUAUUUAAUUGUCAGAGGUGAAAUUCUUAGAUUUGUUAAAGAUGAACUACUGCGAAAGCAUUU
RNAcentral lists this ribosomal RNA (344 nucleotides) under uncultured eukaryote. RNAcentral describes it as "SSU rRNA". It matches the Rfam family "Eukaryotic small subunit ribosomal RNA", at positions 567 to 956 of the family's 1831-position model. The record is from RNAcentral.